RNAcentral lists this ribosomal RNA (253 nucleotides) under uncultured bacterium. Its description in RNAcentral is "partial 16S ribosomal RNA". It matches the Rfam family "Bacterial small subunit ribosomal RNA", at positions 524 to 776 of the family's 1533-position model. The record is from RNAcentral.
UACAGAGGGUGCGAGCGUUAAUCGGAAUUACUGGGCGUAAAGCGUGCGUAGACGGUUAUUUAAGUCGGAUGUGAAAGCCCCGGGCUCAACCUGGGAAUUGCAUUCGAGACUGAAUAGCUAGGGUGCGGUAGAGGGAAGCGGAAUUUCCGGUGUAGCGGUGAAAUGCGUAGAUAUCGGAAGGAACAUCAGUGGCGAAGGCGAGUCCCUGGAAAACACCUGACACUGAGGCACGAAAGCUAGGGGAGCAAACAGG